This 301-nucleotide ribosomal RNA is filed under the name uncultured bacterium. RNAcentral describes it as "partial 16S ribosomal RNA". It matches the Rfam family "Bacterial small subunit ribosomal RNA", at positions 509 to 807 of the family's 1533-position model. The record is from RNAcentral.
CAGUAGCCGCGGUAAUACAGAGGGUGCGAGCGUUAAUCGGAUUUACUGGGCGUAAAGCGUGCGUAGGCGGCUUCUUAAGUCGGAUGUGAAAUCCCUGAGCUUAACUUAGGAAUUGCAUUCGAUACUGGGAAGCUAGAGUAUAAGAGAGGAUGGUAGAAUUCCAGGUGUAGCGGUGAAAUGCGUAGAGAUCUGGAGGAAUACCGAUGGCGAAGGCAGCCAUCUGGCCUAAUACUGACGCUGAGGUACGAAAGCAUGGGGAGCAAACAGGAUUAGAUACCCCAGUAGUCCCUGUCUCUUAUAC